AGAACGAACGCUGGCGGCAGGCUUAACACAUGCAAGUCGAACGCUCGUAGCAAUACGGGAGUGGCAGACGGGUGAGUAACGCGUGGGAACAUACCCUUCGGUUCGGAAUAGCUCAGGGAAACUUGGAUUAAUACCGGAUACGGCUGAGAGGCGAAAGAUUUAUCGCCGGAGGAUUGGCCCGCGUUCGAUUAGCUUGUUGGUGAGGUAACGGCUCACCAAGGCGAUGAUCGAUAGCUGGUCUGAGAGGAUGAUCAGCCACAUUGGGACUGAGACACGGCCCAAACUCCUACGGGAGGCAGCAGUGGGAAUAUUGGACAAUGGGCGCAAGCCUGAUCCAGCCAUGCCGCGUGAGUGAUGACGGCCUUAGGGUUGUAAAGCUCUUUCGCUCGGGACGAUAAUGACGGUACCGAGAUAAGAAGCCCCGGCUAACUUCGCGCCAGCAGCCGC
Molecule: ribosomal RNA, 447 nt
Filed under: uncultured bacterium
Lineage: Bacteria
Description: SSU rRNA
Rfam family: Bacterial small subunit ribosomal RNA
Source: RNAcentral